AACGAACGCUGGCGGCAUGCCUAACACAUGCAAGUCGAACGAGACCUUCGGGUCUAGUGGCGCACGGGUGCGUAACGCGUGGGAACCUGCCCUUAGGUUCGGAAUAACUCCCCGACAGGGGUGCUAAUACCGGAUAAUGUCUUCGGACCAAAGAUUUAUCGCCUUUGGAUGGGCCCGCGUUGGAUUAGCUAGUUGGUAGGGUAAAAGCCUACCAAGGCGACGAUCCAUAGCUGGUCUGAGAGGAUGGUCAGCCACACUGGGACUGAGACACGGCCCAGACUCCUACGGGAGGCAGCAGUGGGGAAUAUUGGACAAUGGGCGAAAGCCUGAACCAGCAAUGCCGCGUGAGUGAUGAAGGCCUUAGGGUUGUAAAGCUCUUUUACCCGGGAUGAUAAUGACAGUACCGGGAGAAUAAGCACCGGCUAACUCCGUG
This 433-nucleotide ribosomal RNA is filed under the name uncultured bacterium. RNAcentral describes it as "partial 16S ribosomal RNA". It matches the Rfam family "Bacterial small subunit ribosomal RNA", at positions 29 to 507 of the family's 1533-position model. The record is from RNAcentral.